UUUUCUCGUUUUUUUUCUCUACAUUAUAUUGAAAUGUUUCAUUAUUGCAAACAUUUUCUCUCAGGCGGAGAGAGGUCGUGGAGUGUCAGCCUAUGGUAUCUGAGGUCCAGGAGAGAUGACCUGCGCUGUUUUCCUCUGAGGAGAUAUCUGAAAAUUUCAUCGGAUCACAAGCAAAGACCUCCUGGGGACCUUCAAUGCAUCCCUUGACAAAUUUGUGCCUGGCCUGCUGAAACUGUACUGGUCUAAGAAGGGAGUUCUUUGUGAGGAGAUGGAAGACCUCCUGGAUAAACUUGAUGAACAGACAUCCAACACUGUGUCCAACGGGCACUGAGAGGCCUGCCCAUUUUCCUCAAGAGAAGAUGCAACAGAGGUUUUCCUGAAGUGCUUAGACACUGACAUUUUGGAACCAGUGUUGAACGGUGCAUCAGUUGCCAUCCUCACCAUCCUACAAGAUGACGAUGCUGAUACGUCUGUGCGAGAA
Long non-coding RNA from Oreochromis niloticus (Nile tilapia), 481 nucleotides. RefSeq lists it as uncharacterized. NCBI's taxonomy places the organism in Eukaryota, Metazoa, Chordata, Actinopteri, Cichliformes, Cichlidae. The transcript is spliced from 4 exons. The record is from RefSeq and is a predicted model, not a curated record.